CUAGGCUCCAAGCUGUCAGCACGGAGCCCAAUGCGGCACUGGGACUUGGGAAGAGCGAGAUCAUGACCUGAGCCGAAGCCUGACCCUUAACUGAUGGAGCCCACCAGGCACCCCUGGAUCCGAAGGUACGUUGUAAUGAUGCAAGCAAAGCCCAAAAGCAUGUGUGUAUUUGCCAUUUGCCAUAAUGAGGGGCAAUUCUUUUGGAAAAGCCCUUCUAAGCUUCUUUAAUUUUUGAUUGUCUUUUUUUUUUUUCUUCUCAGACCAUUUUAUGUGGGGUUUACCGAAAAUGAUCACCUCAGGGGACUUGUGGCAGCACAGAAACUUCCUCAACAAAACCCUAGGUGUUCACUGGCAGUAGAAGUUUCUCUAUCCCUCUAGAAAACGUGUAGGUCUCCCCGGGGGGCACAGACGGUCCCGGAGUCAUGCACGAAGCUUCAGUUUCCACGCACCCUCCCCAGCUGACUCCCACAGUCACCCCGGGACAUGAGGAAUGUGGUUAUGACCAACCCCACUGCAAACAGCUGAAGCAACAGAGGUCCUUUCUCGGAGGCAUUUCGCAAUCGUUUAUUUGAAUGAUAGUUCUCUGUUUGGACUCCGCUGUAAUAUUUGUAUAUAAAUGCCUCUAUCAUGAAAACAUAAGAUGCUGAUCACCUUACACAUUAGUGCAGUCUUAUAAAUUUGAGGGGAGGUGGAGCCAGGCUGAAAUUAGGAAUAUAUUUAAAAUAACAGAUUCCACCUGAAUGUCAUCAUCUCUUUUCAGUGACUUCUUUGGGAGCCUAGAUGACCAGCAUGCACAACAGCAUGCACAACAUUCAUCUUUGAAUGUAGAAACACAAAUGGAUGGGGUGGGGGUGGGGGAACAGUGUCACAAGUCCCAGCUCUGUUGCAGAUUUGCUGUUGACUUUGGGUGGAUUGACCUUCCUUGACCUUGGACCCUACCUGCAAAUGGGAAGAACAACAUUUCCUUAUCUGUCUCCUGUUUUACCUGCCUCAAAAGAGAUAACGUGUGUGAAAAUAUUCUUGGGACUAUAAAGGAAUUAGAGUUAUUUUUUAAAUAUACUCUCCAAGUAGAUAGUUUUUCCCUAGUCAACAUCUCUUAUUUCCCAAUUCUACUUCUAGAAUUGUUCUUUAACCACUCUGGGAUACAGCUUGAAUAAAACACUCAGAGAGUAGAUUAUAUUUUCAAUUAGAGAUUAUUUAGCUUCCUAUUUACUAUGUAACAUUAAAGGUUUUCCUCCUAAUUUAAAAAAAGUUUGAUUUUAAUACUGUUAAAGAAUAAACAUAUUAUUUCUGGAAUAUUCCUGAGUCCUAAAGAUUUUAGCAUUGUAUUAGUUCUCUGCCAAAGCCCUGCAUAAAUACAGUAAAUAAUUUGGCUUUAAACUCAAAACGUCCAUUGAAAAUUUUUUUUAUGUUUAUUUCUUUUUGAGACAGGGACAGAAAGAGACACAGCAUGAGUGCGGGAGGGGCAGAGAGAGAAGGAGACACAGAAUCUGAAGCAGGCUCCAGGCUCUGAGCUGUCAGCACAGAGCCUGACAUGGGUCAUGAACCCACGAACCAUGAGAUCAUGACCUGAGUUGAAGUCGGACACUUAACCAACUGAGCCACCCGGGCACCCUUCAAAAUGUCCAUUUUAAGUAUUGCUAGUGGUAGGCCUGGCUUAUGUUCCUUCUUUUAAGGCAGAUUCUUUCAUGGUACAGAUAGCAAGGACUGAGGCCUUGACCAAGAAAGACUUCAGAUUAAUCUUCCAGGGCUGGAACCAAACAUUGAGACUUUGCCCAAACUGGGCAAUAUAACGUCUUCAUCUGUGCUCAGUGUCUCAUGGAAAUGCAUUUAAAAUGUACUAAGAUCUCUUACCAUGGCAGGUUAGAAGCUGCUAAGACAAACACGAGAUCUUCUGAGCGAGCCAGCCCAUCCAUCUGCACCAGUAACUCUGUCUUCAUCCGGAGGCUUCCUUCAUGUUCUCCCCUACAGAGAGACACAGAGAAUCCUGUUUCAUUCGGCCAAGACAGUUGGCUCAGCCUAAUGAACUGAGAGAACAGUGUCAACGCCGGGACACUCAUCACGAAUGCCUUUUAGACACGAUAGCGACGCGAUCAUUAGAAGCAAGCAACUUGUUUUCCUUGUCACAAAAAGAAAAGCCCCAGUACAGCUGAUAUUAAGGGUGAUUACAAUAGCAGCAAUCUACCCAAUGAAAAGUGGAAUAUCAGAACUCUUUCAUAGAACCAUACAUGUUUUUAAGGUGCUCCCCAAGGUGCAGAGAGACCAAGGGGCCCUAUGAGACCAAACGCCCAGUUGGAAGGAGAACCGCAUCCGGACCCUGUGUCUCCAUAUUGACCGUACCACUGCUCUUCCCGCUGCCAAAGAAUAUAUAGAACUCCAGCUCCUCCCACCACAUGAAUCUGGACUUGGCCUUGUGACUUUGGCCAAUGAGACAUCAGCAAGUAGAAGAAGAGACGUGGGAGAUGCUGUUGGAUUGGGACCUGCCCUUUCUUGCUUCUGUCUGGGAACCCUCUGUCACCAUGGGAACAAGACUCGGUCUGCCUGCCGGAGGAUGAGAGGCACGUGGAGAAGUCUCAGUCGUUCUGUUUAUUCCAGCUUUCCCAGCCACCCUGGCUGAUGCCCCGGAUGUGGGAGUGAGCCCAGCCAGUAUCAUGUGGCAAAGAGAUGAGCUGGCCCUGCUGGGCCCAGCCCAAACGGCAUACCCCCACAGGCGCACAUAAUGAACCACUCUGCACAAAGACUUGUCAGGAAUAAGCAAUGAGCGCAACACGAUGGCUUUCCUGCUGGUGCCCUGGAAGGGGCUGUCUAGUCCUUACAACCGGUCAAAGCAAAACCCCAGGUGAUGUGGGUAUUGGGGAGGGUAGGCGGUAAGAUGUAUAGAAGCAAAGUGAGAGGCCUUCUCUUACAGGAGGUAUUUCUGCUAUAAUACGUAUAUUUUUAGGGAGGCAGGCUAAUUUGAACCUAUCUAUAGCAACUGGCAAAUCAUAUAUAUUAGAGUCUUAGAUCUUAAAUGAUCACUUGAACAGACACCUGCCUUGAACCAAUAUGUAACAUGAUUCCAAAUUGCCUACAACGGACUGGGCCUUGGUACUCCAACAUUUAACCAAAUACUGUGACACAGGCAAAAAGUUAACUUGAUGGCAGAAAAACAUCCUGUCCUCUUCCUGAUGGGUGCAUGACAUACAGUUUGUCCAAUGGAUAAUGAACAGAAAUACCCCCACGAGGCUUCCCAUCCUUACCCUUAUAGGGUACACGACAGCUUCUUUGACUAACUGCUUGGCUGCAUCGAGUCCAAUAAUGUCAUCCCACUUUAUGUUUGGACUAUGGAGAUAAAUGUCCUGCAAUGCACAUUUGAUCAUUUUGUUAAAACUAGUGUUUUCCUCCACAGCUGUAAUAAACACAGGAGCAGCAGAAUACUUGACUUACAAUAGGAUGGAAAGGUGAUACAAACUUUUCAUGUUAGAUAUACGUAUAUAUGCAUAUUGUAAUCAUGGGCUAGCUCACUAAAUGGAUGUCAUGAACAUAUUCAGUGAUUUUUCCCUGAAGAAGAUAUUGGCGAUACAAUAUGGUACUUUUAAGAGGGGAAAAAAAAUCUCCUGACGAUGGACUAUACCUGUCUUCAGUUAAUAGCAAACCGUGCUGAUUUACGGCUGUAAUCAAAGAGGCUACAGAAUAUGCCUUCAAAUUACAUUGGCUUUGACUGCAAAACAUAGUUCCUAGCCAGUGCCUGGCUCCCCUUGCUCCUUGCUCUCUCAAACGCUUUCUUAAUUUGUGGCCUAAGAGAGAUCAUGCUCCUCUGAAACCAAUUUCUCUUUUUCCCUAGUGAUCACCCCUACUUUCCAUCAGGAGCAAUUGCUCCUACAAAAUUCAAGGAAGCCAACAACCGGGCAAAAGUGUGGUCUGCCCUCUCCUUGUGGAGCCCUGUAGCAACCAUCUGGGGCAAUCAAUUAAGGCCGGUUUUACUGAUAAUUCAUUUAAAGUUUCCAAACGUCAGUUUCACAAGCCCCCUCGGAACAGUCACUCAGGGCCUUUCUCAGUAGGAGCUCUUUCAGGCAAACUGAGUAACUAGUGUGUUACAUCAAAAAAAAAGAAAAAGCUCCCUCUUUCAAGUCAUUCUGAGUGACUACAGAACAAUCUGGAAACUAGUUGUAUGUGUAUUUAAUUUUUAAAUAAACAAUACACGCACAUGGUUCAAAAACACACGUUUUCAAUGCUGGUGACAUGUUUUGCCCCCACCCCUGUUGCCUGUCUCCCCGUAUCCCUCUGCCACGGGUGACAACUUUUAUUAGAGAAACUAUUCAUUCAAGUGAUUUUAGGCGUGAUCCAUUCCUAGACGGGAUGGCAGCGAAAGCACAUCUGUCUUCCAAAAUCCUGGGAGAACCCUCCCUGUCUUUAGACAGUGUAUCUGCCUGCUAGCCCACCAGUCACUCACAUUCUUACUACCACACUUUCUUAGAAGAAGCUUGGCACACGGUGGGGAUUGAUCUACCCUGGAAUUCAAAGCAGCCAUCGAUAAAAGCAGUAUUCCUUGCCCUCUUCUAGAGCUGACAUUGAGUUCCACAUAGCAGUAUUUAAUUUCCCAAUGGGAAGUUCCUCCUCAUAGCCGCAAAACUUAUCAGUCAGAACUCAACAGGACUGCCUCAUGAGGUGGUGAGCUCCCCAACACUGUAAGCAUUCAAGCAGGGACUGAACGACUACUUCCCGUGGCACUGUAGGAAAGAUGCCAGGUGGAAUCAUUUCAGGCCACUUCUCCUCUACACGUCCGUUAUCAUUAGUUAUGGUAUCCUUUUGCAGAAACAGUAACAAAAAGGAUAUUUUUCUCUGCUCUCUGGUGCAUCCGAAUUACCACAGCCUGGCUCAAUCCUCAUCCUCUCUCACUGGUAAUAACUUGAGAGCUGGUCUCCUUAUCUCUAUUUCUUUGAUCUCCAUCCACCACACUGGCAUCAGGACAUCUGAGUAGCCCAUUCUCCCGACGGACACCUUUCAAAGAUUCCGCAUGUCCUCGAGACAACUUCCAAUGCUGGGCUAGUGCUCACUAUGCCCCUAGCUCAGGAACUCUGGCCUCUCUCUGCAACCCCGUUCCCCACCACUCCUUGGGGCUCAUUCAGCUCAAAGCAGUACGAUUUCACGGUGUGUUUGGCCCAGAACCCUCCACCCUCCCCCUUCUACUUUUUCACGUGCCUAUUUCUUAUGUAUCUUCUUCCCUAGUGCUCUCCCCGCCCUUUGGCACAAAACACCCCGCCUUUGGGUUCUCCAAGUGCACCUUACCCAUGGGAUGAGAGACUCUUUCAGGCAAGGACUGUGUCUGAUUUGUUCAUCUUUGUGUUUCCAGCCCCCACCGCAUGCUUGACACCUCAUAGGUGCGGUAACAGCUGCGGAACUGAACAGCCAGAGCUGGGGAACCCUUAAUUACUGCAGAAUAGCUGUGCAUUUUUUGGAACAUAUUAAACAUCUCUCCGAGUCUGCCUAGGUUGCAGUCUUUCAUUAAAUAUGAGAUCGCUGGAUAUCAGAUAAAUAGCCUAUAACUCAAGAAUCUAUUCUGUUCCCAAGGAACUUGCCCAAAGUCACACAGCUAGAAAAAGAAGGAUGUAGAAAUCAAAUCCAGGUCAACUGAUUCCAGAGCCGGUAUCGUUAACCAUGAGACUCCACUGCCUUUAAAUUCUGAAGGGGCUAUUUCUCAGCCACCUGCAGUUUUACCAAUACCAGCAAAGCCAUCCAGACCUGUUUAGGAUGCUCCUUAUGGACGGAUUUGGCAUCCCCUGGCUUCCCCACCGUGGUUCUGGACCGUGGCCUCUGCUGACUGAUCUUGGGAAGAUUUUGACAACUGUCGCUCAUCACCCUAGGGAAGGGAACAAAGACCCUGGAGGAAAUUAUUCAAACCAUUUAAUUUGAGCCAUUUGCUGUCUGACCUUUACGCCUGCCACGUACAAACGUUUACUCAGAGACGAGCUGAGGACACCCAAGCUGUCAAGCUGCCUCCCUGAAGAGAAGCAAAGUGCUCGAAAGACAUUCACUUCUGGAAUGUUCUCCUAGAUGAAACCUGGAAAGAAAGGAAACUGGAAAGUAAAUAGUGGAUGAGCUCUCUUCCUCAUAAAACCCAGCACAUCUGCAGCCUUCAUUGUAAAGGCUUGCACGUUUCCAGAUCAGAGCUGCACAAUGGGGAGAUCAGACUGCCGGGCACAGAAAGGCGAUAUCAGUCCCCUGACAUGUGCGAUGUGAAGUUCUCAGUAUCACCUAUGAGGUAAAUGAAAGGAUUUGAUGUAAAUCCAUCAAGCCUUUAGAACCAACUUUUCUUUCUCCAGGGAUCGAGCCUCAGAGAUAGAGAUCUCAAGGAAGCAAUCAGACAAAUCUAGGAGGGGAGAUGUUCUGCAGAACGGUUCUCAUGGUUUCUGGAACAAGUCAGUGCUGUUGAAAAUAAAAAAGAAAAGAAGAGAACAAUAGAGAAAGUACGGGUGGGGGCUGUGGCAAUGCAAAGAGACUUCAGGGCUAUGACAACCAGAUACAAUGCAUGACUAGUUAGAGAACUGUCUAAGUUCUCUGGUUAGAGAACUAGUUGGUUAAAGAACAGUACUUACUAUAUGAUUUCAUUUUGAUAAAACGUGUGUGUGUGUAUGUAACUGUAUACACAUAGAAAAGGAUCUGGGGGGGUGUAUGGAUAUACACUAAGGUUCACCUUUGGUUAACGCCAUAGUGUCUCUGGGUUGUGGGAAUGUGGCGUUUUUAUUUUAUUUAUUCUCUUCAUUACCUAUCAUUUCUUUACGCUUGAUUUAUGAUUAUGGAAGUAAUCAUGCAACAUUAGAACUGCCAAUUGAUACUACUGAGAAUAUUGAAAAUAUAAAAACUGUCAGGAAUUCUUAAAUCUAAUAAAUUCUAAGACUUGGGGUAUCUUUAAACCUAAAAUGAUGGGGAAAAUCUAGACUAUAAGUAAACUACUAUUUAUAAUGUUAAGACAACUGGAAAGUGAAGGAAAAGUUGAAUAAUACUUAAAACAUAUACCCAUAGCAUUGUUCAAGAGAUUAAAAACUUUAAAUAUAAAAAGAUAAAGGAAGUGCAACCAGCGAGCUUUCCUGAUUUGGGCAAGGGGUCUGGCCAGGUGCAUUCCUGGAGAUCUGACUAGGAUCUAAUUGGAUCCAAUCCAAUCAAAGGAGCUAUAAUCAAUGCUGCCAUUUUAAGCUAAGACUAUUAAGUGAUUAGUUUUAGUUGUAAUAGUAGUAAUAAUAAAGUGCAGGGGCACCUCAAUGGCUCAGUUUCUUAAGUGUUGGACUCUUGAUAUCAGCUCAGGUCAUGAGCCCAGGGUUGUGGGAUGGAGACUCACAUCAGGCUUUGGCACUAAGCAUGGAGCCUGCUUACAUUCUCUCUCUCUC
Molecule: long non-coding RNA, 7364 nt
Organism: Felis catus (domestic cat)
Lineage: Eukaryota; Metazoa; Chordata; Mammalia; Carnivora; Felidae
Exons: 8
Source: RefSeq, a predicted model, not a curated record